Molecule: long non-coding RNA, 355 nt
Filed under: Salvia miltiorrhiza (redroot sage)
Lineage: Eukaryota; Viridiplantae; Streptophyta; Magnoliopsida; Lamiales; Lamiaceae
Description: long non-coding RNA (SMIL_LNC006365)
Source: RNAcentral
AGUUAUCGAAGGGAAGGCAGAUUGUCGAUGGAAGAAUAAUAAGAGAAGAAUAAGAAUAGAUAGACAGCAAAUUCAGAAGAAACAGAAAUAAUCUAGUAGGUAUAGAGGGGGGGCGGAGCUAGUAACCGCCGCCGGCGAGGAAGAGGAGGUCAGAGGGGCUGCCGCCUUCGGAGGGCAGAGCGCCGCGGCCGCCGUGUGGCGAAGGGUUGGUCUCGGUCACACAGCCCUUGCGUCGUACUGCCCGGACAUGUAUGACGGGGCGGUUUCCUCUUAGUAAAGCCGUGAUUGUCGACAACUUGUUACCCCCGGGUUUUACCCCUCCUUUCCACUCUGAACGACGCGAACGAGAGAUCCC